CGGACGGGUGAGUAAUGUCUGGGAAACUGCCCGAUGGAGGGGGAUAACUACUGGAAACGGUAGCUAAUACCGCAUAAUGUCUACGGACCAAAGCGGGGGACCUCCGGGCCUCGCGCCAUCAGAUGAACCCAUAUGGGAUUAGCUAGUAGGUGGGGUAACGGCUCACCUAGGCGACGAUCCCUAGCUGGUCUGAGAGGAUGACCAGCCACACUGGAACUGAGACACGGGCCAG
This 232-nucleotide ribosomal RNA is filed under the name uncultured bacterium. RNAcentral describes it as "partial 16S ribosomal RNA". It matches the Rfam family "Bacterial small subunit ribosomal RNA", at positions 99 to 334 of the family's 1533-position model. The record is from RNAcentral.